CAAAGACCCGCCUCCCACGACAGGAAGCCGUCGGGUAAAAAAUGUCCUGCUUAUUUACAACACGGAAGCUCGGUGACCACCAGGCAGAAACCGGGACACGUUUCUGUGAUCAAAUCUUCCCGGCGGGUGACAAUGAGUGGAAGCCCUCCAGCGAGCCGACCCGGCACGCUCGCCCCGUUUGCCAAAGAGCCAUUGUCUUAUUGUUGCUUUACACAAUGUGACUUGUUAAACCUGCAAAUGAACUCGCAUUGUAACAACGGCAUCUGGUCCCGGUUCACUUUCUUCGGGAUCGCCUCCGUAAUGGGGACGAAUGAGCCCGUCGCCGAGGAGCUUGAGGUGUGUCUGCAGAGGAGGUUCAAUCGGAUCUUUUUACAUUCCGGUUGUCGCGUCACACUUUGCAAUCGACGCGUCUCCCGUCACGUUUUGCACUGGGCAGAAAGCGCCGCUCGCAUCUGGAAAAGGACGGACGGACGGGAGGAUCAACCCGCCGCCGCCCAUUUGAGAAGAAGCGAGAUGAUCUCGGCUGCAGCGCAGUCGCCACGUCGGUGUUCACGCCACCUCUCCAGGUCAGACAGCGCAGAGCGGAUCCCGUCACGUCUCACGCAGCUGUCUGCGUAAACUCCGCCGCCGCCGAGCCCCUUCAGGUAACCCUGGGGAGGGAUUUGGCGCUCGUCAUCGCUCAGAAAGCAUCCUCAGUAGCUGCUGAAGCCACUCCCCCAAAUUCCUCUGGCGGCGCGGUGAGUCGUGGUCACAGCUACGCUAGCAGCUACGCUAGCAGCUAGCUCACCACGGUCCAGCAACGACAGCUCCCGGAUUCAUUUUUCUUGUGAGGAUAUAACUUAAAUUUAAACAAAAACACCAACGCCGCCUUUAGAAAACCCCUUUUUCAAAGUGUCGUCUGUCAUCAAAUGAGCCAGAAUGUGGGAUUGUCUUGGUAGCGGCGGCUUGUGCUCUCGAUGUGCCUUUUCAAUUAUUUUACAGGCGCGCGUGAGCGAGGUUUCCAACCCGCUCCUGUUGGUGUCACCAGCUGUUUGUAACAGUUGACAGAACAAACGGAGGCUUUUACGUUGACUCGUCUUCUGUCUGUAAAGCGCUGGAUGCUGAAGUGCUCCCAGCGCUCUUUCUAUUACCGGGUUUAUUUGCGGUCUUCUAUUUUGGAUGCGACCUAUUUAAGAGGGCGGUGUGUGUUUAUGCAGCCCUCUCGGGUUACUGCGCCGCGGUAAUUACGCUCCCUGCUUUUAGCUGUCAUAACACUCGCUGUUUGGGCUCGCGGAGGACGGCCUGGGGGGUGUCACGCCGGGCGAAAACCGCUCCCCGGGCAUCGCAACCCGUGUUUAACUGCAGGGUCCGGCAUGAAGCGGACACAGAAGCAGAUGAGGACCGAAGUGGAGGACAGCCGGAGGACGGCCGGUCCUCCUUCCUGCGCCCAGAACCAUCGAGCGAGCUCCUCCGAGGUGUAGUUAGCUCAUCCAGCCGUGUGCAUGAUGGAUGAUCCCAGGGACGCGCCGGUUCUGACCCAGCUUGGAAUCAGCAGCAGUGUCUCCCCCGCGUUCAAAUCAGAUCUUUAAAUAAACCACAGCCACGUAAACGCAGCGAGCGUCAUUCACAUAAAAAAACAGUCGUCCUUUGCUAAAAAGACAAGCGGCUUCAGACCGUUUUCACUCCUUCUGAACACAGAGACGUUGGACAAUUCUUAUACUAAGACUACGACGAUAACGCCUCGAGGGAGGACGUCAGGUUGCGUGCUGUAAAGACAUUUGGGUCAAACAAGGACACGCGUGUUUGUGGCGUGUGGAAGCUUCAUCUCGCCACCUUGAAGGUGUUUGAUGCAGGAACCCUGGGGAGUUAGAAGGUACGAGCGCAGCACAGUGUUUGGUGAUGUCGUUGCGGCGCAUCCCGCAAAACCCGCGGCAUUGUUGUUGACAGUCGGCGACGAGGAAGUCCGGGGCACUGAGGCUCUGCUGCAGCUCCUCGCUCGCACUCGGUCCGUUGUUCUUCCUCUAAGUGAAUUAAAGCACGAUAUCCACCGCAUUCAGGGCGCCGCCGCUGCUGUUUCCAAGGUAACCACCAACUGGCAUCCCGGUGAACCUCAUCAUCACAAAGCAACAUAAACAUCCUUACAUGGUUUUUUUAUUUCCAAUUAAUGUUACCCGCCGCCGUUAAUCACACCGUUACCCCCCCCCCCGGGACCUCUGGGGGUCUGAGGAGUGGAUUCACCAUCACCAUUGCUUUAACGGGACACUUUUUAUAAUCAACUCCUGCAGCUCGCUAAUCAUUUUAAUGCUCUGUUUUGCUGCUUUAUUGUCUCGACAAUCAUUCCGAAGAUGCGUUCUUUUAUCUGUGGACCGAUCACGCGCCGGAGGAGCGUCCCUCCCCCCGAAGGCAGGAACACAAAGCGCACAAGAAUCUGAAGGUCUGAGCGCUGAGCUGCUACCCGACGCCACGUAGCGCUGCACAUCUCGCUCCUUCGCCCCUUCACUGUCUCACUCUUUACCCGGCGUCGCUCGGCGUGGCCGCGCUGACGCAGACGGAUUUGCGUGGCAGACAGUUGGAGGCCCGAGGACGGGAGGAGAUUGCUUCACGAGGCGUCCGGGCCGCGCUGGAUGUCUGGAGGGUGAUUUGCCAAAAAUCUGUCAAAGAAAAAGUUCUGCAGUGGUGAUUGAGCAAGUCUCGCCGUGAGCGUUGGCGUAAUUUACUGAGAAGACUAUUAUUUCAGUUCUAUGUACCUUUGCCUCAAAUAGCAAUGUUUUUUUCUGGAAAUGUCAUUCAGGAUUAAUUGGCGUUAAUGGAUUAAUAUUUGAUUUAAAAGUAGUAACCAUGCAAACAGUAUCGACAAAUAAGCUUCUUUCUGCAGCUUUAUUCCCUUUACACAGUAGCAGCUAAAACAUUUAUUCUGAACCUCAACUUAAAGAAAUCUUCUUUAAUCUAAACUACAUAACAUGUUUUAAUAUAAAACUAAAGCCAUUUGCAACUGCCAGAGGCUUAAUGUUGAAUCCGGUUUGUUAUAAAAAAACAAGUUGCAUCAUAACAGGCAGCUACCGUGUAGCAGCAAGUCCGCAUCUAUAAAUCAGUUCUUUUGUUUCCUGACAGAAGGAACACUUCUCAGCAUAAACGCUCCGCUCGGUAGCCGCGGUAUUUGUUCUAAAUGUUUGUUGGUGCAUUGAUGUUUUAUUGGUGUUUAUAAGAAGCGGUGCUCCGUAGUUAAACACCCGCUGUGUGCCAGGUACCACUGACUGUGUGCUAGUUAGCUUAGCAACAACUGCCAAGCCGUUUAUUGUCCGUUUGUCAUCAGACGUCGGGUAAUAAAGUGGCGCUGGCCUGGCGGCUAACUUAGGUGGCUCGUGAUUGGCCCGGGAGGGUGUGUGGGCGGGGCCUCGGUGCUGUGGCUCCCGGCGCACACGAUCACAAACUGUCAGACUCUCCACAUCUGCAGAAGUUCAGGAGGCUGCCAACGCAGUGACGUAAGCGUCACUUACCUUUUAUUUUAAUUAAUAUACUUAUUCUCCAUCAGAAACUCCCACGUUCCGUUAAAAAGAAGAUUGUCCAGGUAGACUCAUUGUUUACAUGUACGUGUGUGAGAUAAACUUCACUUCACAUCACCUCCCGCCACUGUACGUUUGAUUGACAUGUGAAUAGAGCUCAAAAACACCACGGAGAUUAUCUCCUAGCAACACGGAUGCAAACAAAACAAAACAGGAAUAACACUGUGUAGCUGUGGUGUCAUCAAUACGACUACAUGCGCGUGUAUUCGCACAUCACACAAUGCGCCAGGAGCCACGAUGAAAGCGCUUUAUUUUCGCUGGAAUUUGGAAACAUAUUAUUCAUUUUCACUGCAGCAUCUUUGGACGAAAAGCUUCAGACUGUUCUGAUCUCGGCUGGAAUCUCUAAAGUGAAACUGGUAGUCCGGUGCGGCACGCACUUUCCCACAAGUUCCCCAUAAAGUGGAGAAUGUGCCUAAUCCCGUGCAGAGUUAUGACAUAUGGUCGGUGGCUUAAGCGAUCUGGGGCCAUCUUAAGAUUGAGCUGGAAUGCUAUUCCCGAAGGGGAGAGCGAAGGUAAAUAAAGGAGACAGUGCUCGGCAGAUAUGGGAAAAUAUUGACACCACUGACCUCCGUGCUUAACUGAUUAAAGGCGGUAACAUCUCGCAGCUGUCUACUCAACAACUUUUAAAAAAGGGAAACCACAUAGGACCCCUAAAAGUGUGUUUCUUACGCCAAUGAUGCUCACAUGAUACACACACAACUGACAUCCUGUGUUUUGGUAGGAUGGACGGAAUAAAAGGGCAGAAGAGAGAAGAAGAAGGAUUUUAAAUGUAAAAACAAUAAAGCCGCUGUGAAGGAUUUAGUGUCAUUUAAUGAAAACUCUACAAAGCGCGAUGAAUAUCAGAGGCGGGGGAGUGAUUCUAAAAGAUACAUUUGUGAGAAACACUGAGCAAUCGUUGCUUCGUUUUCCGCGGUUGAAUCGUCCUCAUUUCGCUGUGUUCAGAUACGGUUGGUGAAAACAGCCGCGCUAAAGUUAAACUGCAACCAUGUGUCUACACGCAUAUGGGCAUAUGUGAUGCUUUUACUCGCUGCAAACUGUCAUUGGUGGGGAUUCAUUCAGACAGAAGUGGAUUCGAUUCGACGCAUUUGAGCCGCUGUCGCUUUGCAUCGAAGCUCGUCACGUGAAAAGCCUCACACGAUUCCCGGCUACGGCUCCUCGUGGCUUGGUUUCCGUCUGCAGACAGCAACUAGCGCACACGGCACCUGCAGGGCAGCUCUCUUCAGAUGGACCCGCCUGCCCUGUGAUCCAUAUCAUUCCCCCCAUAACGGGUUUUCAGACAGACUGAUGAAUGUGCCAAGCGCUCUCACCGAAAAAACAACCCCCCCCCCCCCCGGCUCAAUGGGCUGCUCGCUCGACCCUCGCAGCGCCACAUGAUUACUGAGCUCCUUUACCGAUCAAUACGGAUCAAUGCAGUGUGCUGCUCUUGGCUGGAGGAGAGGGAGGGGAGGACGAAGGACACUCACAGAGGAGCAACGUGGAUUAAAACACGUGGAAAUGAAAUAAGUGACAUAAUUACUUCACUGCACUCAGAGGAUCGUUGAGAAGUUUUGAUUAAGCUUCUUUCAUUCAGGAAUGUUUUGCAAGAAAUGUCUUGCUGCUGCAACAGGCUACCUUCACAUGAUGUGAUGCCCGUUUCUUCUUGGGGGGGGGUUUAGAGCUUGAAUGGUGCCGUUUGGUGUCUGCGUCACUAACCAUUAAGCACAAAGGGCCUCCGUGGCACUCGAGCAGAGCUUGACUCGGAGUUUCGUCACCUGAAUGAAGACACACGACAAACUGGCACUCAAACCGCCUGCAGCGUUGCCGCCUUCAACUCGCGGCAGACGAGGCGACACACAAAGGGCCGUCGGGGGACAUUCGGGGGUUUGCACAGUCUCGCCUCUGAAAGAGACGUCUCCGUUUGACAGCUCGUGACAGGUCUCGUCCCUCCCCCGGUCUACGCGCUCAGGUCUCACUCGCCUGCACACAGCGUUACACUCAGCGUAUGGAGCCAGGAGCGCGUGCACACGCGUGCACGCCUGCACACACACGCGCUCCAUCUCUCUCGCACACACACACACACACACACACACACGAACUAGCAAGGUGGGAGGAGUCAGCGGUAAAAGACUUGUAAUUUGUGUUUUGCCAACAAAGGCCGGCUAAUCCUGCAGGGGGGCUUUGUCGCAGCUGCUAUUGUGUGUUUGUGUGGUGUGUGUGUGUGUGUGUGCGAGUGGGGGAGAGGCAGAAAGAGAGAGGAGGUGUG
This is a long non-coding RNA of Gasterosteus aculeatus aculeatus (three-spined stickleback), 5784 nucleotides long. The record is from Ensembl. NCBI's taxonomy places the organism in Eukaryota, Metazoa, Chordata, Actinopteri, Perciformes, Gasterosteidae.